UUUGUGGAGGGUUCGAUUCUGGCUCAGGAUGAACGCUGGCGGCGUGCUUAACACAUGCAAGUCGAACGGGAUCCAUCAGGCUUUGCUUGGUGGUGAGAGUGGCGAACGGGUGAGUAAUGCGUGACCGACCUGCCCCAUACACCGGAAUAGCUCCUGGAAACGGGUGGUAAUGCCGGAUGCUCCGACUCCUCGCAUGGGGUGUCGGGAAAGAUUAUAUCGGUAUGGGAUGGGGUCGCGUCCUAUCAGGUAGUCGGCGGGGUAACGGCCCACCGAGCCUACGACGGGUAGCCGGCCUGAGAGGGCGACCGGCCACAUUGGGACUGAGAUACGGCCCAGACUCCUACGGGAGGCAGCAGUGGGGAAUAUUGCACAAUGGGCGCAAGCCUGAUGCAGCGACGCCGCGUGCGGGAUGACGGCCUUCGGGUUGUAAACCGCUUUUGAUCGGGAGCAAGCCUUCGGGUGAGUGUACCUUUCGAAUAAGCACCGGCUAACUACGUGCCAGCAGCCGCGGUAAUACGUAGGGUGCAAGCGUUAUCCGGAAUUAUUGGGCGUAAAGGGCUCGUAGGCGGUUCGUCGCGUCCGGUGUGAAAGUCCAUCGCUUAACGGUGGAUCUGCGCCGGGUACGGGCGGGCUGGAGUGCGGUAGGGGAGACUGGAAUUCCCGGUGUAACGGUGGAAUGUGUAGAUAUCGGGAAGAACACCAAUGGCGAAGGCAGGUCUCUGGGCCGUUACUGACGCUGAGGAGCGAAAGCGUGGGGAGCGAACAGGAUUAGAUACCCUGGUAGUCCACGCCGUAAACGGUGGAUGCUGGAUGUGGGGCCCGUUCCACGGGUUCCGUGUCGGAGCUAACGCGUUAAGCAUCCCGCCUGGGGAGUACGGCCGCAAGGCUAAAACUCAAAGAAAUUGACGGGGGCCCGCACAAGCGGCGGAGCAUGCGGAUUAAUUCGAUGCAACGCGAAGAACCUUACCUGGGCUUGACAUGUUCCCGACAGCCGUAGAGAUAUGGCCUCCCUUCGGGGCGGGUUCACAGGUGGUGCAUGGUCGUCGUCAGCUCGUGUCGUGAGAUGUUGGGUUAAGUCCCGCAACGAGCGCAACCCUCGCCCUGUGUUGCCAGCACGUCAUGGUGGGAACUCACGGGGGACCGCCGGGGUCAACUCGGAGGAAGGUGGGGAUGACGUCAGAUCAUCAUGCCCCUUACGUCCAGGGCUUCACGCAUGCUACAAUGGCCGGUACAACGGGAUGCGACACGGCGACGUGGAGCGGAUCCCUGAAAACCGGUCUCAGUUCGGAUUGGAGUCUGCAACCCGACUCCAUGAAGGCGGAGUCGCUAGUAAUCGCGGAUCAGCAACGCCGCGGUGAAUGCGUUCCCGGGCCUUGUACACACCGCCCGUCAAGUCAUGAAAGUGGGUAGCACCCGAAGCCGGUGGCCUAACCCCUUGUGGGAUGGAGCCGUCUAAGGUGAGACUCGUGAUUGGGACUAAGUCGUAACAAGGUAGCCGUACCGGAAGGUGCGGCUGGAUCACCUCCUUU
This 1529-nucleotide ribosomal RNA is filed under the name Bifidobacterium pseudocatenulatum. RNAcentral describes it as "bacterial SSU rRNA". It matches the Rfam family "Bacterial small subunit ribosomal RNA". The record is from RNAcentral. Lineage: Bacteria; Bacillati; Actinomycetota; Actinomycetes; Bifidobacteriales; Bifidobacteriaceae.